UGGUCUAUGGCGCGGCAAUGCUUGCUGGGUAUUGCCUGGUCACUGGCGUUCCAUUCGCCAUGGAAUGG
This 68-nucleotide transfer RNA is filed under the name Pseudomonas plecoglossicida. RNAcentral's name for it is "tRNA-Asn". The record is from RNAcentral. Lineage: Bacteria; Pseudomonadati; Pseudomonadota; Gammaproteobacteria; Pseudomonadales; Pseudomonadaceae.